This 245-nucleotide ribosomal RNA is filed under the name uncultured bacterium. RNAcentral's name for it is "partial 16S ribosomal RNA". It matches the Rfam family "Bacterial small subunit ribosomal RNA", at positions 524 to 768 of the family's 1533-position model. The record is from RNAcentral.
CACGUAGGGGGCGAGCGUUGUCCGGAAUUACUGGGCGUAAAGAGCGCGUAGGUGGUCUGGUAAGCGAGGGGUGAAAGCCCACGGCUCAACUGUGGAAUUGCUUCUCGAACUGCCAGACUAGAGGCCGGAGGAGGCCAGUGGAAUUGGCGGUGUAGCGGUGAAAUGCGUAAAUAUCGCCAAGAACGCCAGUGGUGAAGACGGCUGGCUGAGACGGUCCUGACACUGAGGCGCGAAAGCUGGGGUAG